Molecule: ribosomal RNA, 279 nt
Filed under: uncultured bacterium
Lineage: Bacteria
Description: partial 16S ribosomal RNA
Rfam family: Bacterial small subunit ribosomal RNA
Source: RNAcentral
UGCCAGCCUCCGCUGUACUACUGAGUGUGCGAGCGUUAAUCGGAAUUACUGGGCGUAAAGGGCGCGUAGGUGGCUAGAUUAGUCGGGUGUGAAAGCCCCGGGCUCAACUCGGGAAUUGCAUUCGAUACUGUUUAGCUAGAGUGCAGUAGAGGGAAGCGGAAUUCCGGGUGUAGCGGUGAAAUGCGUAGAUAUCCGGAGGAACACCAGUGGCGAAGGCGGCUUCCUGGACUGACACUGACACUGAGGCGCGAAAGCGUGGGGAGCAAACAGGAUUAGAUA